This 253-nucleotide ribosomal RNA is filed under the name uncultured bacterium. Its description in RNAcentral is "partial 16S ribosomal RNA". It matches the Rfam family "Archaeal small subunit ribosomal RNA", at positions 474 to 727 of the family's 1478-position model. The record is from RNAcentral.
UACCAGCACCCCGAGUGGUCGGGACGAUAAUUGGGCCUAAAGCAUCCGUAGCCGGUUCUACAAGUCUUCCGUUAAAUCCACCUGCUUAACAGAUGGGCUGCGGAGGAUACUAUGGAGCUAGGAGGCGGGAGAGGCAAGCGGUACUUAGUGGGUAGGGGUAAAAUCCGUUGAUCCAUUGAAGACCACCAGUGGCGAAGGCGGCUUGCCAGAACGCACUCGACGGUGAGGGAUGAAAGCUGGGGGAGCAAACCGG